Molecule: ribosomal RNA, 502 nt
Filed under: uncultured bacterium
Lineage: Bacteria
Description: partial 16S ribosomal RNA
Rfam family: Bacterial small subunit ribosomal RNA
Source: RNAcentral
AUUGAACGCUGGCGGAAUGCUUUACACAUGCAAGUCGAACGGCAGCAUAGGUGCUUGCACCUGAUGGCGAGUGGCGAACGGGUGAGUAAUACAUCGGAACGUGCCCAGUCGUGGGGGAUAACGUAGCGAAAGUUACGCUAAUACCGCAUACGAUCUAAGGAUGAAAGCGGGGGACCGUAAGGCCUCGCGCGAUUGGAGCGGCCGAUGUCAGAUUAGGUAGUUGGUGAGGUAAAGGCUCACCAAGCCGACGAUCUGUAGCUGGUCUGAGAGGACGAACAGCCACACUGGGACUGAGACACGGCCCAGACUACUACGGGAGGCAGCAGUGGGGAAUUUUGGACAAUGGACGCAAGUCUGAUCCAGCCAUUCCGCGUGAAGGACGAAGGCCUUCGGGUUGUAAACUGCUUUUGUACGGAACGAAAAAGCUCUUACUAAUACUAGGAGUCCAUGACGGUACCGUAAGAAUAAGCACCGGCUAACUACGUGCCAGCCGCCGCAGUAA